This 362-nucleotide ribosomal RNA is filed under the name Staphylococcus aureus. RNAcentral's name for it is "bacterial SSU rRNA". It matches the Rfam family "Bacterial small subunit ribosomal RNA", at positions 79 to 433 of the family's 1533-position model. Lineage: Bacteria; Bacillati; Bacillota; Bacilli; Caryophanales; Staphylococcaceae. The record is from RNAcentral.
CUUGCUUCUCUGAUGUUAGCGGCGGACGGGUGAGUAACACGUGGAUAACCUACCUAUAAGACUGGGAUAACUUCGGGAAACCGGAGCUAAUACCGGAUAAUAUUUUGAACCGCAUGGUUCAAAAGUGAAAGACGGUCUUGCUGUCACUUAUAGAUGGAUCCGCGCUGCAUUAGCUAGUUGGUAAGGUAACGGCUUACCAAGGCAACGAUGCAUAGCCGACCUGAGAGGGUGAUCGGCCACACUGGAACUGAGACACGGUCCAGACUCCUACGGGAGGCAGCAGUAGGGAAUCUUCCGCAAUGGGCGAAAGCCUGACGGAGCAACGCCGCGUGAGUGAUGAAGGUCUUCGGAUCGUAAAACUC